Molecule: ribosomal RNA, 471 nt
Filed under: uncultured bacterium
Lineage: Bacteria
Description: partial 16S ribosomal RNA
Rfam family: Bacterial small subunit ribosomal RNA
Source: RNAcentral
GACGAACGCUGGCGGCGUGCUUAACACAUGCAAGUCGAACGGAAAGGCCCUGCUUGCAGGGUGCUCGAGUGGCGAACGGGUGAGUAACACGUGGGUGAUCUGCCCCUUACUUUGGGAUAAGCCUGGGAAACUGGGUCUAAUACUGGAUAGGACCAUGCUGUAGGUGGUGUGGUGGAAAGAUUUUUUCGGUAAGGGAUGAGCUCGCGGCCUAUCAGCUUGUUGGUGGGGUAAUGGCCUACCAAGGCGUCGACGGGUAGCCGGCCUGAGAGGGUGGACGGCCACAGUGGGACUGAGAUACGGCCCAGACUCCUACGGGAGGCAGCAGGGGGGAAUAUUGCACAAGGGGCGCGAGCCGGAGGCAGCGACGCCGCGUGGGGGAUGACGGCCUUCGGGUUGUAAACUCCUUUCAGCCAUGACGAAGCCUCUUUGGGGGUGACGGUAGUGGUAGAAGAAGCACCGGCUAACUACGUG